UUUAUCCAGUCGCUAAAGUGGAUUUUUGGCUUAGCAUUAGCAAAUGGUAUAAUGUCCGGCCGUAAAUACUGAGGAAUCCGGUCGUUAAUAAUAAUAAUUUGGCGGAAGUAUCCCAAAAGAAAUGCGCCAAACACCCUAUGCAAUAUCAGGUAUCCCUUUUUUUUUCUCCCCACUCAAAUAAUUAACGCUCCCCAUUUCCCCUUCCCAUGUAUAUAAUAAGAAAAGAAAUCCCUAAUCCCCAACCUACAAAGAGACGUUACUGCCAACAUCCUCAACAAAAUUUGGUUACCUUUGGUAGAUGAGUUUGAUUUGGUGGUGGUGGAGAGUGGGUUGAACCACCAAAAGCAAAAGCUCUAGCCUGCGCUCAACAAAGUGUCAAUAUUUUCUGGUUGAAUAUUUCGGGUUCAAUGGAGUAACUGCAGUCACUGGUGCGCUUAUCUUUGCAAUGGGCUCAUAUUUUAUCAAGAAUUUGAAGUUUGAAGAAUCUGUCUAUGAACAAAGUGCAGAGCAAGUAUAAGCAACUGAAACUAUUAAAGAACGAGUUGACAGGAGAGACAUGCUUUCUAUUUUGCUCUGAGGUGUUUAAAGAUUUUCCUAUUUGUACAUGCUACAAUAUUUGUACUUCUUCAAAGGAGCUGCUAAAUAUAAUGUCAGAAAAGUUGGAUGGGUCUAUAUUUUUGUAAUGUCAUGAUUUAUUUCAUUGUAAUUAAGUAUGAAAUUCAGAUGGCUAUCGAUUAUUUUAUAUAUUAAG
This is a long non-coding RNA of Lycium barbarum (goji berry), 751 nucleotides long. RefSeq lists it as uncharacterized. The transcript has 3 exons. The record is from RefSeq and is a predicted model, not a curated record. Lineage: Eukaryota; Viridiplantae; Streptophyta; Magnoliopsida; Solanales; Solanaceae.